Molecule: ribosomal RNA, 365 nt
Filed under: uncultured eukaryote
Lineage: Eukaryota
Description: partial 18S ribosomal RNA
Rfam family: Eukaryotic small subunit ribosomal RNA
Source: RNAcentral
CAAUAGCGUAUAUUAAAGUUGUUGCAGUUAAAAAGCUCGUAGUCGGAUUUUGGCUGAGAACGAACGGUCCGCCGUUAGGUGUGCACUGAUUGGUCUCAGCUUCCUGGUGAGGAGGUGUGCUUCACGGCCACUUAGUCACCGUGGUUACUUUGAAAAAAUUAGAGUGUUCAAAGCGGGCUUACGCUUGAAUAUAUUAGCAUGGAAUAACACCAUAGGACUCCUGUCCUAUUUCGUUGGUCUCGGGACGGGAGUAAUGAUUAAGAGGAACAGUUGGGGGCAUUCGUAUUUCAUUGUCAGAGGUGAAAUUCUUGGAUUUAUGAAAGACGAACUUCUGCGAAAGCAUUUGCCAAGGAUGUUUUCAUUGA